GGGCUUGUAGCACAGUGGUAGCGCGCUCGCUUUGCAUGUUCUGAUGUAUGCGAGAGGUCUAGGGUUCGAUCCCCUACUGGUCCA
Non-coding RNA from Dissoconium aciculare CBS 342.82, 84 nucleotides. NCBI's taxonomy places the organism in Eukaryota, Fungi, Ascomycota, Dothideomycetes, Mycosphaerellales, Dissoconiaceae. The record is from the annotation of a RefSeq genome assembly.